Molecule: ribosomal RNA, 566 nt
Filed under: uncultured bacterium
Lineage: Bacteria
Description: partial 16S ribosomal RNA
Rfam family: Bacterial small subunit ribosomal RNA
Source: RNAcentral
UGGGGAAUUUUGGACAAUGGGGGAAACCCUGAUCCAGCCAUCCCGCGUGUGCGAUGAAGGCCUUCGGGUUGUAAAGCACUUUCGGCAGGAAAGAAACGUCGCGGGUUAAUACCCCGCGGAACUGACGGUACCUGCAGAAUAAGCACCGGCUAACUACGUGCCAGCAGCCGCGGUAAUACGUAGGGUGCAAGCGUUAAUCGGAAUUACUGGGCGUAAAGCGUGCGCAGGCGGUUCGGAAAGAAAGAUGUGAAAUCCCAGAGCUUAACUUUGGAACUGCAUUUUUAACUACCGGGCUAGAGUGUGUCAGAGGGAGGUGGAAUUCCGCGUGUAGCAGUGAGAUGCGUAGAUAUGCGGAGGAACACCGAUGGCGAAGGCAGCCUCCUGGGAUAACACUGACGCUCAUGCACGAAAGCGUGGGGAGCAAACAGGAUUAGAUACCCUGGUAGUCCACGCCCUAAACGAUGUCAACUAGCUGUUGGGGUCUUCGGACCUUGGUAGCGCAGCUAACGCGUGAAGUUGACCGCCUGGGGAGUACGGUCGCAAGAUUAAAACUCAAAUGAAUUGAC